GUGGUCGUUCCACUGGCUUCAGCUCCCCAAAUUGCUGUCUUGAAUAAGUUCCUCUUCCUUGAAAUCAAAAGACCUCACUAUACACCUAAAUAGCUUAUUCCAACCUGCUUGGAACCUUGUGAUAUAAGAAACACAAGGUGCUCAUUGCCAACACUGACUCUGAUUUAAAGAUCAAAGAAAAUGUAAGAUGAAGAGGAUGUUUCUGUCCUAAGAAAACAGAAGCAGAGAGAAUUAAGGCAGACAGUAAUUGAGGGAAACUUGGACUAUACUUUUUGGCUUUUGCUUUUUGCUAUUUCUUCUGCUGUUCUUACUGACAUGUUAUCCAAAAGUAGUUCUGUUUGUCUAGCUGUUUGUAAAUUUGAAUCACAAGAAUCAAUCAAAGUCAGUUCCCUGUGCCAACCAAUAGGGGAAGAAGGAAUGGCUCAUGCAAGAUGGAAUUUGACAACAACUUGGCAUGCGGGAACUCGCGUGGAAGCUGUCUGGGCGGCUGUGUGUGGAAACCGUGAUAGGACUAGCGCGGAACACAACAGCGUGGGCGUUGAUCUGUGCCUUAGGAAAGCAUGCCAAUUGCACACCAUCAGCCCAGCGACAGAUAUUCAACACCGUCUGUAGCAAUAAAAAAGUGACACAAAACCUGGAGACAGCUGAGGCAUAUUCUGGAGAUGGCUGCAGCAUGAGGCUCGCAGAUGGGGAAAGGGUGUCCAGUGCCAUGCUGGGAUCUGAUGGAUCAGCACUCAGCGGCCUGUGUUCCCCGACACCUGGUUUCCUCUGGGUCUUCACAUUUUCCCCAGGUUCAUUCUCCAGAUGUCCUGUAAUUUCUGUAAACCACCAGAUAGCUUUCUAACAAAUUCCUUUCUGCUAAUAUUAAUAGGACUCCCUUUCUUUUGUUCGCAUGCGAGAACCUGCCCAAAGCACGUUUUAAAUCUUAUCUUGGAGAUCUUAUCUUCUAAGCCACUCUCUCUCGUUUUCUAUAAGGGGAAACUGAGUCUGCUGGGAGAGUUUGAGGAGACAGCUCAUUUCGCAGAACAUAUCUGGAACUGAGGAUCUAGUGAUGGGGACUUGACAUUUCUCUGUCACUCAGACAUAAGUGGCAAAUAAAUCUCUACUAAUGAAUCAUUUCUCAUUUCUCAUUUCUCAUUCUAUAAAACAGAGUCCUGUACAUCUGUGCAGGACUCAAGGACACUGCACAGAAGCCCUGACUCCUGGUAACACUGAGCUUAAUGAAAUAUAAAUUUCAUUUCCUAAAACCUCCUCUUUCAAUAAGUCUUUGCUCUCUUACUCCAAUCACUCGAUUGCCCCCCACUUCCCAGAAUUUGGGGAAUGGAAACAGAGGAAUAGAGGAUGACACUGGGUUCUCAAUAUUGGGAGAAAGAUGACUUAUCAAUCACAUACACACAUCACAAAAGCAAUCAGCAAAGAAAAUGUUCAAGAUGGUUUAAGGGGAGGGCGCCUGGGUGGCUCAGUUGGUUAAGCGACUGCCUUCAGCUCAGGUCAUGAUCCUGGAGUCCCGGGAUCGAGUCCCGCAUCGGGCUCCCUGCUCAGCAGGGAGUCUGCUUCUCCCUCUGACCCUCCCCCCUCUCAUGUUCUCUCUCUCUCUCUCAUCUCUCUCUCAAAUAAAUAAAUAAAAUCUUUUAAAAAAAAAAAAGAUGGUUUAAGGGGAAACAACCAUUCUUGAAUGUAGAGAUGGGGAAAAAGGAACAGAACUUGGUAACAGAAAUAACUGAUAAGUGGCUACAUAAGAAUCAGAAGGAGAAACCAGCCAGAAUCAGGAGUGUGCAUGCCAUGAGUGCCCACAGAAUAGUGUGCUCUAAGAAGAAGGGUGUGGUCAACAGCACCAUCCCAAGCGGAAGACCAAGAAGCAGGAGGAUUCAAUAGGAAAACAGAUUUGGGAUCUGCUAUGGACUGUAUGCUUGUGUCCCUCCCCCACCACCCCCACCUCCAAAUUCCUGUGUUAAAUUCUAUCUCCCAAGCUGACAAUGUUAGGAGGAGGGGCCUUUGGGAGGUGAUGAGGUCAUGAGGGUGGAGCCCCCAGGAUAGGAUCAGUGCCCUUAUAAGAGACCCCAGGGAGCCCCCUCGCCCCUUCCGUCAGGUAAAGACUCAGGGAAAAGAUGCUGUCUAUGAAUCAGGAAGAGGGUUCUCACCAGACACAGGGUGCCUUGAUCUUGGACUUCCAGCUUCCAGAGCUGUGGGGUUGCUGUUUAUGAGCCCCCCAGUCUGUGGUAUUUUGUUACAGCAGCCAAAGCACUAAGACAGAAACCAAGAUAGUACUGAAGAUCUUAUUAAAAAAUGGCCUUUUGGCAUAGAAAAUGCAGGAGAUUGGGAUUAGCUGAGAAAUGGGUAGGCGAUAGGGAUGUGAAAGCUAAGAAUAUAUACAACUACUCCUUCCAAGAAAUCUGCCAUUGAAAGGGUGGUGAGAGAUGGUAUAUUUUUUUAAAAGAUUUUAUUUAUUUAUUUAUUUGAGAGUGAGAGAGAGCGAGAGCAUGAGUGGGGGUGGAGGGCAGAAGGAGAGGAAGAAGUAGGCUCCGAGCUGAUCAGGGAGCUCCAUCCCAAGACUCUGGGAUCAUGACCUGGGCUGAAGGCAGAUGCUUAAUUGACUGAGCCACCCAGGUGCCCCAUGGGAGAUGGUGUAUUUAAUCAAACCACAGCCAUGGCCAUAGAUUCUUCCUCCACACAAUGCCAUCUCCCUCUGAGGACAGCCAAGAGUCUACCCAGUGUGUUAAACAGACCUAACUCUUCUUAUGAAGAGUUACCCCCCAAAAGGAGAGGGGGGUGGGGGGAUGGGUUAGCCCGGUGAUGGGUAUUAAAGAGGGCAGGUAGUGAAUGGAGCACUGGGUGUUAAAUGCAAACAGUGAAUCAUGGAACACUACAUCAAAAACUAAUGAUGCAAUGUAUGGUGAUUAACAUAACAUAAUAAAAUUAAAAAUAAAUAAAUAAAUACGAUAGGUCUCUCUGCCCUCUCUGCCCUCCCUUGCUGAAAUGUGCAAUAAUUUCAAUGUUGCUUCAGAUUGUACUUUGAUAACAUGUUGCCACAGUGAGAUACCACCUCAUACUCUCUAGGAUAGCCAUAAUCUAUUUAAAAAAACAAAAAACAAUAAGUUUUGGUGAAAAUAUGGAGAAAUUAAGAUGCUCACAUGUUUGGUGGGAAUGUAAAAUGAUACAAUGCUAUGGAAACAGGUUGGCUAAAUGUAAUUACUAUAUGAUGCAACAAUUCUACUCCUAGGUACACAGCAAGAAGAACUGAAAACAGGUGUUCAAACAAAAACUUGCACAUGAAUACUUAUAGCAGCAUUAUUCAUAAUAGCCAAAAGGUAGGAGCAACCCAAACGUCCAUUGAUGGAUAGAUAAACAAAAUGUGGUACAAUCAUACAAAGGAAUAUUAUUCAGGCAUGAAAAGGAAUAAAGACCUGAUUCUUGCUACAAUACGGAUGAGCCUCAAAAAUGUCAUGCUGAGUGAAAGAUGCCAAGACACAAAAAGACACAUAUUCAUUCCAUUUAUAUGAAAUAUGCAGAAUAGGCAAAUCCAUAGAAACAAAAAAAAAAAAAAUCAGUUGGUGCCAGGGGCUGGGGGCAAGGGGAAAUGGGGAGUGGCCCUCUGGUUUGGGGUUUCCUUUUGGGUUGAUGAAGACUCUCUGAAACUAGAUGGAGGUAGUCGCUAUACAACAUUGGGAAUGCACUAAAUGAGACUGUAUUAUACAUGUUUAAGAGAUUAAAAUGGUCAAUUUAUGUUAUGUGAAUUCUAAUUCAAUAAAAAAACCAUUUGGUUCCUAUUUAAAAAUUAUUUUGACCCCUAAACCUUGAGAUUACUUAGUGAAGGACAUGUUUUUAACCUGAAAGUUUCAAAACUAUAGAUUCUUCUUUCUAAAGAUUGUUACUUAUUUGAGAGAGGGAGAAUGAGAGAGCGAGAGAGAACAUGAGAGGGGUAGAGGGAGAGGGAGAAGCAGGCUCCCCGCUGAGCAGGGAGCCGGAUGCAGGACUUGAUCCUGGGACUCUAGGAUCAUGACCUGAGCCAAAAGCAGUCACUUAACCAACUGAGCCACCCAGGCGCCCCGAAGCUGUAGAUUAUUAAGCCGUCUCUAGAUAACCUUCCAACCCCUUGUUAGCCUAAGAGAUGUUAGUCCGAUUUCUAAACCUAUCUAUGACUUUCAAGUCUGAUUGAAAGUUGAUUUUUUUCAAUCAUGAUAUAGUUGGUAAACUCUCAUUUGGAAAUGGAAUGUUAACUAUUUUAAAUCAGAAAACCAAGAUUCUAAAGACUUUCUCUCUGAGAAUCGAGAGAGGUCAAACCCUUCCACCGAAGGGUCAGUCAGCCCAUGUCGCUCUUCAUAUCAUCUCCAAAGAAAGAAUUCAUGAUUUAUUGUGCAAAUUGAUCAUCAGAAUGGACAUUUACUUUUCUUUUUUUUUUUUUUAAAGAUUUUAUUUAUUUAUUUGACACACAGAGAGUGAGCACAAGCAGGUGGAGUGGCAAGCAGAGGGAGAAGCAGGCUCCCCGU
Molecule: long non-coding RNA, 4487 nt
Organism: Mirounga angustirostris (Northern elephant seal)
Lineage: Eukaryota; Metazoa; Chordata; Mammalia; Carnivora; Phocidae
Exons: 3
Source: RefSeq, a predicted model, not a curated record